AGGAUCAUUAUCGAAAUAAACCUGAUGGGUUGUUGCUGGUUUCUCUAGGGAGCAUGUGCACGCCUUGUCAUCUUUAUAUUCUCCACCUGUGCACCUUUUGUAGACCUCUCUCAAGGUCUAUGUUGCUUCACUUACCCCAAUGUAUGUCAAUGAGAAUGUGUAAUGAAAUCUAUACAACUUUCAGCAACGGAUCUCUUGGCUCUCGCAUCGAUGAAGAACGCAGCGAAAUGCGAUAAGUAAUGUGAAUUGCAGAAUUCAGUGAAUCAUCGAAUCUUUGAACGCACCUUGCGCUCCUUGGUAUUCCGAGGAGCAUGCCUGUUUGAGUGUCAUUAAUAUAUAUAUAUCAGCCACUCUUGUUGAGUGGUCUGGAUGUGGGGGGGUUUCUUUUGCUGGGCCUCUAUGGGGGUUCAGCUCCCCUGAAAUGCAUUAGCAGAACGACCUGUUCAUUCGUUGGUGUGAUAAACUAUCUACGCUAUUGAAUGUGAGGCACUUCAGCUUUCCAACAGUCCUUGGACAAUUUUACCAUUUUAUGUGACCUCAAAUCAGGUAGGACUACCCGCUGAACUUAAGCAUAUCAAUAAGCGGAGGAAAAGAAACUAACAAGGAUUCCCCUAGUAACUGCGAGUGAAGCGGGAAAAGCUCAAAUUUAAAAUCUGGCAGUCUUUUUGGCUGUCCGAGUUGUAAUCUAGAGAAGUGUUAUCCGCGCUGGACCGUGUACAAGUCUCCUGGAAUGGAGCAUCACAGAGGGUGAGAAUCCCGUCUUUGACAUGGACUGCCAGGGCUUUUGUGAUGCGCUCUCAAAGAGUCGAGUUGUUUGGGAAUGCAGCUCAAAAUGGGUGGUAAAUUCCAUCUAAAGCUAAAUAUUGGCGAGAGACCGAUAGCGAACAAGUACCGUGAGGGAAAGAUGAAAAGAACUUUGGAAAGAGAGUUAAACAGUACGUGAAAUUGCUGAAAGGGAAACGCUUGAAGUCAGUCGUGUCGUCCAGGGAUCAACCUUGCUUUUGCUUGGUGCACUUUCUGGUCUGACGGGUCAGCAUCAAUUUUGACUGUUGGAAAAAGGUCAAGGGAAUGUGGCAUCUUUGGAUGUGUUUAUAGCCCUUGGUCACAUACAAUGGUUCGGGAUUGAGGAACUCAGCAUGCCGCAAGGCCGGGUUUUUCAAACCACGUACGUGC
This 1173-nucleotide ribosomal RNA is filed under the name uncultured Cortinarius. Its description in RNAcentral is "eukaryotic LSU rRNA". The stretch from base 533 to 1173 matches the Rfam family "Eukaryotic large subunit ribosomal RNA", at positions 1 to 626 of the family's 3401-position model. The record is from RNAcentral. Lineage: Eukaryota; Fungi; Basidiomycota; Agaricomycetes; Agaricales; Cortinariaceae.